AUUUUCCCUGUCCCAAAUCUGGGUCCUUUUCAUGUCGAUCUGUAAGUAAAUUAAGUAUUUGGAAGAUGUGCAAUGCUGGAUGGAGAAAUAUGCCAAGUGAGCCUCUUGCACAAAAUGCUCGCACAAGGAGAACCCGGGAGCAAAAGAAGCUAGGAAGGAGAAGGAAACCUUUUCCCGGUGCUCUUCAGUGUUGUGGAGCACUGAGAACAAAGAAAGCAACUUGCUUAUUGUUUCUGGAAACCCGAGGAUGAAAGAAGCCACCUUUGUCUGUUGUUGAUAAGUAGAAACCGCUAGGGGAGUCUGAACACAAAAGUCAAGUCACUGUUUGCUCUAGUAUGCAAGCAGGUAAAAGGACCUUAUUGUCUUCCUCACAGAGCACUGCACUAAGUUUGAGUACCGAUUUGCCACGUGAAACAGGCAACCUUUCCACAGCCUCCGAACUCCUUGCUCUGCCAAAGCCCGUGAGAGAAACGACAAGCACUUUCCCCCAUGUCAGCCAGGCAGCCUGCUGCCACCGACACAUUUCCCGUCUACCCUACCAGCUCAAUGACAGCAAACUCAGAGGAAAGGAGCCUCGGAAAAUGGCUCCAGGACAAAUCUGACGUCAUAGUGGCUGGUGGCAGUAAGAGACCCUUCUUUCCAUAUAAACUCUAAAGUUACUUGUCUGCAUCUGUAAAACAGCUACAUUUUCGUUGUGUUGCAAUAAAUCCAUCAGUCAAUUUAA
Peromyscus californicus insignis is the source of this 724-nucleotide long non-coding RNA. RefSeq lists it as uncharacterized. NCBI's taxonomy places the organism in Eukaryota, Metazoa, Chordata, Mammalia, Rodentia, Cricetidae. The record is from RefSeq and is a predicted model, not a curated record. The transcript is spliced from 2 exons.